CCCUACGGGACGCAGCAGUGGGGAAUAUUGCAUAAUGGGCGAAAGCCUGAUGCAGCAACGCCGCGUGAAGGAAGACGGUUUUCGGAUUGUAAACUUCUAUCACUAGGGAAGAAAGAAAUGACGGUACCUAAAUAAGAAGCCCCGGCUAACUACGUGCCAGCAGCCGCGGUAAUACGUAGGGGGCAAGCGUUAUCCGGAUUUACUGGGUGUAAAGGGAGCGCAGGCGGCGUGGCAAGUC
This 238-nucleotide ribosomal RNA is filed under the name uncultured bacterium. Its description in RNAcentral is "partial 16S ribosomal RNA". It matches the Rfam family "Bacterial small subunit ribosomal RNA", at positions 337 to 589 of the family's 1533-position model. The record is from RNAcentral.